Molecule: transfer RNA, 188 nt
Filed under: archaeon
Lineage: Archaea
Also listed under: 1 other name
Description: tRNA-Leu
Source: RNAcentral
GUGGGGGUAGCAAAGUCUGGUCAAUUCAAAACUCGUUUUAAAAAUACGAAAAACGCAGUUUUGAGGCUUAAUGCGCAGGACUUAAGAUCCUGUCUCUUAGUGGGUUCAGGGGUUCGAAAACUAGUCGUAAAAAAACAGCCAAAUUAAAUGGUGUUUACCUCGACUCGUCGUGUCUCCCCUCCCCCACA